Molecule: ribosomal RNA, 603 nt
Filed under: uncultured bacterium
Lineage: Bacteria
Description: bacterial SSU rRNA
Rfam family: Bacterial small subunit ribosomal RNA
Source: RNAcentral
CCUACGGGAGGCAGCAGUGGGGAAUAUUGGGCAAUGGAGGAAACUCUGACCCAGCGACGCCGCGUGCGGGAUGAAGGCCUUCGGGUUGUAAACCGCUUUCAGUAGGGAAGAAGCGAAAGUGACGGUACCUACAGAAGAAGCACCGGCUAACUAUGUGCCAGCAGCCGCGGUAAUACAUAGGGUGCAAGCGUUGUCCGGAAUUAUUGGGCGUAAAGAGCUCGUAGGUGGUUCGUCACGUCGGAUGUGAAAAUCUGGGGCUCAACCCCAGACCUGCAUUCGAUACGGGCGAUCUAGAGUGUGGUAGGGGAGACUGGAAUUCCUGGUGUAGCGGUGGAAUGCGCAGAUAUCAGGAGGAACACCAAUGGCGAAGGCAGGUCUCUGGGCCAUUACUGACACUGAGGAGCGAAAGCGUGGGGAGCGAACAGGAUUAGAUACCCUGGUAGUCCACGCCGUAAACGGUGGGCACUAGUUGUGGGAACCUUCCACGGUUUCUGCGACGCAGCUAACGCAUUAAGUGCCCCGCCUGGGGAGUACGAUCGCAAGAUUAAAACUCAAAUAGAAGUAGACGACGAGAGAGCGACGACGACGACGACGGAGGAGGAG